This is a non-coding RNA of Schistosoma mattheei, 45 nucleotides long. The record is from Rfam. NCBI's taxonomy places the organism in Eukaryota, Metazoa, Platyhelminthes, Trematoda, Strigeidida, Schistosomatidae.
AUCCGGCUGACGAGUCCCAAAUAGGACGAACCGCGUGUCCUGGUU